Molecule: long non-coding RNA, 302 nt
Organism: Labeo rohita (rohu)
Lineage: Eukaryota; Metazoa; Chordata; Actinopteri; Cypriniformes; Cyprinidae
Exons: 2
Source: RefSeq, a predicted model, not a curated record
CUCGUACUGCUGCGGGACUGCGCUUCAAUGGCUACCCGGGAAAUAGAGCAGCGCCCUCUGCUGGACACUGUACGCGCCAUACAGCGUCAACGCUCAUCUCUGGAGCAGUGACAGGAAGCACUGGUGCUGUGAGAGGAUCUUCUGAUGCAUCUGUGACAGAAGCCUCUCAGACCAGAGCGGCUUUAGCAGGAACCUCUGGGACCAGGGAGGUUGAGAGAGGAGCUCUGGGACUGAAUCAGCCUUGAACACCAGCUCUGGCUGAAGCUGCGACCGCAAACACUGGGGCGGCCUUGACUGGAACU